AGCCAAGUCCCGUGCAGCUAGAACGAGCUCAACCCCGCCAGAUCCGGAAGGAAGCAACGGUCGGUUCGAUUUUAGGGUGCCACGGCCAACUUGGCUCUU
RNAcentral lists this signal recognition particle RNA (99 nucleotides) under Ignavibacteria bacterium. Its description in RNAcentral is "signal recognition particle sRNA small type". It matches the Rfam family "Bacterial small signal recognition particle RNA". Rfam says of the family: The signal recognition particle (SRP) is a universally conserved ribonucleoprotein involved in the co-translational targeting of proteins to membranes. Archaeal SRP consists of a 7S RNA and homologues of the eukaryotic SRP19 and SRP54 proteins. Lineage: Bacteria; Pseudomonadati; Ignavibacteriota; Ignavibacteria. The record is from RNAcentral.